This 71-nucleotide transfer RNA is filed under the name Stegodyphus mimosarum. It matches the Rfam family "tRNA". Rfam says of the family: Transfer RNA (tRNA) molecules are approximately 80 nucleotides in length. Their secondary structure includes four short double-helical elements and three loops (D, anti-codon, and T loops). Further hydrogen bonds mediate the characteristic L-shaped molecular structure. tRNAs have two regions of fundamental functional importance: the anti-codon, which is responsible for specific mRNA codon recognition, and the 3' end, to which the tRNAs corresponding amino acid is attached (by aminoacyl-tRNA synthetases). tRNAs cope with the degeneracy of the genetic code in two manners: having more than one tRNA (with a specific anti-codon) for a particular amino acid; and 'wobble' base-pairing, i.e. permitting non-standard base-pairing at the 3rd anti-codon position. The record is from Rfam by way of RNAcentral. Lineage: Eukaryota; Metazoa; Arthropoda; Arachnida; Araneae; Eresidae.
CCCUUCGUGGUGUAACGGUAGAACACUUGGCGCGUAUUCCAGUGGUCCAGGUUCGAGUCCUGGCAAGGGCA